GGCUCGAUAGCUCAGUUGGUAGAGCAGAGGACUGAAAAUCCUUGUGUCGGUGGUUCGAUUCCGCCUCGAGCCACAA
This 76-nucleotide transfer RNA is filed under the name Fidelibacterota bacterium. RNAcentral describes it as "tRNA-Phe". It matches the Rfam family "tRNA". Rfam says of the family: Transfer RNA (tRNA) molecules are approximately 80 nucleotides in length. Their secondary structure includes four short double-helical elements and three loops (D, anti-codon, and T loops). The record is from RNAcentral. Lineage: Bacteria; Pseudomonadati; Fidelibacterota.